This 917-nucleotide ribosomal RNA is filed under the name uncultured bacterium. RNAcentral describes it as "bacterial SSU rRNA". It matches the Rfam family "Bacterial small subunit ribosomal RNA", at positions 1 to 917 of the family's 1533-position model. The record is from RNAcentral.
GAGGGGUUUGAUCCUGGCUCAGGAUGAACGCUAGCUACAGGCUUAACACAUGCAAGUCGAGGGGCAGCAUGUUGGUUGCUUGCAACCAAUGAUGGCGACCGGCGCACGGGUGAGUAACGCGUAUCCAACCUACCCAAUACUCAGGCAUAACCCGUUGAAAGACGGACUAAUUCCUGAUGGUAUGUAUUUUUCUCAUGAAUUAUACAUUAAAGAAUUUCGGUAUUGGAUGGGGAUGCGUCUGAUUAGUUUGUUGGUGAGGUAACGGCUCACCAAGACUUCGAUCAGUAGGGGUUCUGAGAGGAAGGUCCCCCACAUUGGAACUGAGACACGGUCCAAACUCCUACGGGAGGCAGCAGUGAGGAAUAUUGGUCAAUGGAUGGAAAUCUGAACCAGCCAAGUAGCGUGCAGGAUGACGGCCCUAUGGGUUGUAAACUGCUUUUAUGUGAGAAUAAAGUUAGGUAUGUAUACUUAUUUGCAUGUAUCACAUGAAUAAGGACCGGCUAAUUCCGUGCCAGCAGCCGCGGUAAUACGGAAGGUCCAGGCGUUAUCCGGAUUUAUUGGGUUUAAAGGGUGCGUAGGCCGUUUGAUAAGCGUGCUGUGAAAUAUAGUGGCUCAACCUCUAUCGUGCAGCGCGAACUGUUGAACUUGAGUGCGUAGUAGGUAGGCGGAAUUCGUGGUGUAGCGGUGAAAUGCUUAGAUAUCACGAAGAACUCCGAUUGCGAAGGCAGCUUACCGUAACGUUACUGACGCUUAAGCACGAAGGUGCGGGUAUCGAACAGGAUUAGAUACCCUGGUAGUCCGCACAGUAAACGAUGGAUGCUCGCUGUUGGCCUUUGUGGUCAGUGGCUUAGCGAAAGCGUUAAGCAUCCCACCUGGGGAGUACGCCGGCAACGGUGAAACUCAAAGGAAUUGACGGC